ACCGGCGGCUCGAGUGGUGGCCACUAUUACUGGGCUUAAAGCGUUCGUAGCUGGCUUGUUAAGUCUCUGGGGAAAUCUUCCGGCUCAACCGGAAGGCGUCUCAGGGAUACUGGCAGGCUAGGGACCGGAAGAGGUGAGAGGUACUCCAGGGGGAGGGGUGAAAGCGGGUGAUCCUUGGGGUGCGACAUGUGGCGAAGGGGACCCACCAGGACGGCUCCCACAGUGAGGAACUAAAUCUGGGGGAGCAAACCG
Molecule: ribosomal RNA, 252 nt
Filed under: uncultured prokaryote
Description: partial 16S rRNA
Rfam family: Archaeal small subunit ribosomal RNA
Source: RNAcentral